UCCGUAGGGCGCAAGCGUUGUCCGGAAUUAUUGGGCGUAAAGAGCUCGUAGGUGGCGUGUCGCGUCUGCCGUGAAAGCCCAUGGCUUAACUGUGGGUCUGCGGUGGAUACGGGCAGGCUGGAGGCUGGUAGGGGCAAGCGGAAUUCCUGGUGUAGCGGUGAAAUGCGCAGAUAUCAGGAGGAACACCGGUGGCGAAGGCGGCUUGCUGGGCCAGUUCUGACGCUGAGGAGCGAAAGCGUGGGGAGCGAACAGG
Molecule: ribosomal RNA, 253 nt
Filed under: uncultured bacterium
Lineage: Bacteria
Description: partial 16S ribosomal RNA
Rfam family: Bacterial small subunit ribosomal RNA
Source: RNAcentral